ACCCAUGGACAACCAAAAUCCCCUUGAAGAACCCAACGAUGCGUUGAGAUGCCACCACGACACCCAACACCCUUUUGACCCUACAACCCGUUGGACGCCCCCCGUCACCCGCAGCCCCCCAAAACCUUUUUGGGACCCCCAAAAACCCAAAUGGGGACCCCAAAACUUUUAUAGGGACCCCCCAAAAACUCAUGGACAACCAAGACACCCACCAAAAACUCAACAACACAUUGAGAUGCCACCACCACACCCAACACCCUAUAGACCCUACAACCCGUUGGACGCCCCCCACCACCCAUAGCCCCCCAAAACCCUAUGGGGACCCCAAAAACCCAAAUAGGGACCCCAAAAUAUUUAUAGGGACUCCCCAAAAACCCAUGGAGAACCAAAAUCCCCUUGAAGAACCCAACGAUGCGUUGAGUUGCCACCACGACACCCAACACCCUAUAGACCCUACAACCCGUUGGACGCCCCCCACCACCCGCAGCCCCCCAAAACCUUUUUGGGACCCCCAAAACCCUAAUAGGGACCCCAAAACUUUUAUAGGGACUCCCCAAAAACCCAUGGAGAACCAAGAUCCCCUUGAAGAACCCAACGAUGCGUUGAGAUGCCACCAUGACACCCAACACCCUUUUGACCCUACAACCCAUGGGACACCCCGUAGCACCCCAAACCCCCCCCAAAAAGCCCAAAAUCCUAAUAGGGACCCCAAAACUUUUAUAGGGACCCCCCAAAAACCCAUGGAGAACCAAGACACCCACCAAAAACUCAACAACACAUUGAGAUGCCACCACCACACCCAACACCCUAUAGACCCUACAACCCGUGGGACGCCCCCCACCACCCACAACCCCCCAAAAUCUUUUUGGGACCCCCAAAAAAACCCCAAAAGCCCACCCUGGAGGCGGGAGAUGAGCCAGGAGAGCUGUUUGCGGGAGAUGCCGGUCCAGCUGAGGUCCAGGCUGGCGGGCUGGCGCCGCACGAUCCCGCUCAGCAUCGACGGCGUCACCGCCGCCCGGCGGCUCAGGUCGAUGCGCGUCCACAGGCGGCGGUCGCAGCACCUGGGGGGGGCCCAAAAAUUUAGAGAAAAACCCCAAAUUCGGGCAAUCUGA
RNAcentral lists this long non-coding RNA (1112 nucleotides) under Anas platyrhynchos platyrhynchos (common mallard). RNAcentral's name for it is "lncRNA (ENSAPLG00000020779.1)". Lineage: Eukaryota; Metazoa; Chordata; Aves; Anseriformes; Anatidae. The record is from RNAcentral.